UACGGAGGGUGCGAGCGUUGUCCGGAAUCACUGGGCGUAAAGGGCGCGUAGGCGGCCUGAUAAGUAAGGGGUGAAAUCCUGCGGCUUAACCGCAGGGCUGCCUUCUAAACUGUCAGGCUCGAGCACAGUAGAGGCAGGUGGAAUUCCCGGUGUAGCGGUGGAAUGCGUAGAGAUCGGGAAGAACAUCAGUGGCGAAGGCGGCCUGCUGGGCUGUUGCUGACGCUGAGGCGCGACAGCGUGGGGAGCAAACAGG
Molecule: ribosomal RNA, 253 nt
Filed under: uncultured bacterium
Lineage: Bacteria
Description: partial 16S ribosomal RNA
Rfam family: Bacterial small subunit ribosomal RNA
Source: RNAcentral